AGGCUACCCCAGCCCACUUCUCCCUGCUUACUCCAGGAUGAGAGGAACAGUAGAGGUGGGGGUACAGCUGGGAACAGGGGCCAGGGCAGUGGUGGCUCUGGGGUAAGAUGCUGGGCUGAGGCUAAGGAUAGGUGGGAGCUGCCCAUGUGCAGUCAUCUUUGCCCAGUGACACCUCAGAGCUGUCAGGGCUAAGAACCUACAUAGGCAUUUGUGAGGCAGGCUAAGCAGGAUGCUGCAGCUCAGGGCUGGCCUUCCCUUUCUAACUGAUGAUCUGCCGGGGUCGCCCAUAGCCUGUCAUGCCAGCCUGCGAGGCUCCUCUGUUGCUGCCCAUUUGAAGGCCAAUGACGUGCUUCCCCUCCUGCAGUUGGCUGUCUGUGAAGUCCCUCUUAUGCUCCUGGGCUUUCCUAGAAGAAAAGGAACCAGGGUAAGGCUUGCUAGAACUUAGUGUUCUCCAACUGUUUCCUGAUCCCUGCUGCUUCCCUGUUCGACUCCCUUCCUUUCCUGUUUGUCUUCUCUUUUUUUCCCCUGAGUUUGGCUCCAGGAGUUAGGGAGCCUGGUGGAGCACACGCUGGCAAAAGGUAGGAAUGCAGAAGUAGGACCUCAUUUCCCCUAGUCCAACACCCUUACCUGGGACGUCCCUGGCUCUGCUACACCUGAUCUUUACCACAACUGACCAGCCCAAGCCACCCCAACCCCACAGAGAGACCCAGUGGACACAUACUUCAUAAACCAGUUGGGAUCUCCACGGUAGUUUCCAUCGUUUUUGGUCACAGCCAAACUGCCCAAAGCCAUUAGAGUCCUCUGCACUGCUGCCAUAUCCUUACCUAUGAGAAGAGUGGCCAGGGAGCUAAUUUCAGGACCAUAUAGGCAAUACCUGCCCAGCUUCAAAAAUGGUCCAACCAAGAGCAAGUGGCACCAAAUCAAGAGGGUUCAAGAGACCAUAUUCUAAACCCUAGUGAGUAUGGUGUGGUAUAUAUUUGAUAUUCUAGGAUCCAAAACAGGCCCUUGUACCCAGAAGGGAAAUGCUGUACCACCAAGCUGGUCCCCUUGCUAUGUGUUCUCUUGGCAUAUCCCAUUCCUGCUAUGAACACAUCAACAGAGCUGGUUGUGGCUUUUGAUAUUCCUUCUCCUUGACUGAUAAUCUUGCUCUCCACUCGCCCACUGGCUCCAGCCCUUUUUUCCUUAUACCUUCAUAGAGGUCAACAGUCUGGAACAUGUCAGUCUUGAUGACUCCAUAAUCUUCAGCUGCCUUCAAGAAUUGAGCCACCUGUUCCAUCUGCUUAAAGACCAUGGAGGGUGGGUUCUCAGGCACCUUCACUGGCUUCGAUCCCUCAGGAUACAGGCUGUUCACCAAUUUGCUCAGAAUCUGCCAGGUACAGAACACAACUGAACACUCAGCUCAGGGAGUCUGUCUCACAGUUUGUAGGGUGGCAUACACAUCCCUAGAUUCCCUUCGCAAGGGUUACUCACCACACCAUUCUUCAGCCACACCUGGAAGCCCAGGCGCCCACGAUCUGGGCGGCCUACAUCAGGGCCACACUGCACUACAAUCCACUCCACUAGUCGCUCCUCCAGCUCCUCGUCAUACUUCUUCUCAAUUUUGGACUGCACUUCUCGGCUCAUGCCGUAGGAUGGACCCUUGUUGGCCAUGUUGAGGCAGAGCUAAAGUAUAGAGUGUGGAGAAAAGAACAAAGAGCCAGCAAGUUACUUUACUUCAUUUGUGCUAAGCAGGCCUUCCACUCUGAGGGACCCUAGACAUCAUAGCAUGACCUAGACCAGCUUUACCCACUUGCUGCAGAGACCCCUCUGAACUUGAACCUCAGAAAACAAGGUCUUAGAUAUUUGUCAGUCUAGAGCAAGAGUCUGUCAACUUUUUAUGUAAAACAGCAGAGUAAAUAUUUUAGACUUUACAGACCAUAUGGCCUCUAUUGUAUGAAAAUAGCCUAGCUGAUACAUAACCAAUGUGUGCCAAUAAAAUUUUGUUUAUAAAAACAGACAUCAGGCUGCCUUUGGCCUGUGGACUAUUUUGACAACCCCUGGCCUAGAGCCAACCUCCUGUCCCUCAUUGCUUGCUUCUUUCUGCAGUACUGGUGGAGCCCAGGGCUUCACAUAGAAAGGGAAGUAUGCAUUGCUAAGCUUUGUCCUCGGCCUUCUCUUUGUUUUAUAGUUUGUGUUUUUGUUGGGUUUUCCUCCCCCACACCCCCAGAAAGGGUUGCACUGUCUGGCCUCUGCUGUUGUAGAACUUUCCUGUAGACUGGCCUCCAACUAACAGAGAUCUUGCCUGCUUCAGCCUCCUGAGUGCUGGGAUUAAAGGCGUGCUUCAACAG
RNAcentral lists this long non-coding RNA (2327 nucleotides) under Mus musculus (house mouse). Its description in RNAcentral is "predicted gene, 48529". The record is from RNAcentral. Lineage: Eukaryota; Metazoa; Chordata; Mammalia; Rodentia; Muridae.